AUUGAACGCUGGCGGAAUGCUUUACACAUGCAAGUCGAACGGCAGCACGGGGGCAGCCCUGGUGGCGAGUGGCGAACGGGUGAGUAAUACAUCGGAACGUGCCCGGUCGUGGGGGAUAACGUAGCGAAAGUUACGCUAAUACCGCAUACGAUCUGAGGAUGAAAGCGGGGGACCUUCGGGCCUCGCGCGAUCGGAGCGGCCGAUGUCAGAUUAGGUAGUUGGUGGGGUAAAGGCCUACCAAGCCGACGAUCUGUAGCUGGUCUGAGAGGACGACCAGCCACACUGGGACUGAGACACGGCCCAGACUCCUACGGGAGGCAGCAGUGGGGAAUUUUGGACAAUGGGCGCAAGCCUGAUCCAGCCAUUCCGCGUGCAGGACGAAGGCCUUCGGGUUGUAAACUGCUUUUGUACGGAACGAAAAGGCUCUGGCUAACACCUGGGGCUCAUGACGGUACCGUAAGAAUAAGCACCGGCUAACUACGUG
RNAcentral lists this ribosomal RNA (484 nucleotides) under uncultured bacterium. RNAcentral's name for it is "partial 16S ribosomal RNA". It matches the Rfam family "Bacterial small subunit ribosomal RNA", at positions 30 to 507 of the family's 1533-position model. The record is from RNAcentral.